GGAGAGUACCGCUCAUGGGAGCAAGCCGCCUUGAAAGCGGUAGGCAGGCGAAAGCCUGGGAGUUCGAUUCUUCUACUCUCCGC
This 83-nucleotide transfer RNA is filed under the name Mycobacterium phage DyoEdafos. Its description in RNAcentral is "tRNA-Ser". It matches the Rfam family "tRNA". From Rfam's summary of the family: Transfer RNA (tRNA) molecules are approximately 80 nucleotides in length. Lineage: Duplodnaviria; Heunggongvirae; Uroviricota; Caudoviricetes; Vilmaviridae. The record is from RNAcentral.